AUGGCGACCAGCAGCAAGGAUAUGCCGUCGCCUCUGACGGAGAUCCCCGCCCACCUCCUGGUGGAGAUCUUCCUCCGGCUGCCCACCGCGGAAGACCUCGCCCGCGCCUCCGCCGCCUGUGUCUCCUUCCGCCGACUCACCACCGACGGCUCCUUCCUCCGCAGCUUCCGCCGCCUCCACGCACCACCACUCCUCGGAUUCCUCGACUACGGCAGAUUCCGUCCCGCUCUGCCGCCGCACCCAUCCGCGCCGGCAGCCCGCGCGCUCGCCCUCGCCGCCGACUUCUACUUCUCCUUCAUCGACUCCUACUGCCACUGGACCGUGCAGGACUCCCGCGACGGCCGCGUCCUCCUCGACCGCGACCUCCGACAACAUGAGCAGCCCCCGGUUUUCAAAGAUCUCGCGGUGUGCGACCCCUUGCACCGCCGCUACGUCCUGCUCCCCCCGGUACCUCACGGCCUAGACGCCUCGCUUGAGCCCCUGUUCCCCAUGGUAAGCGAGGCCCAGUGCAAGGCUUUCCUGGAUCCCCUCGGCGAGGAGGAGAUAGCGGCGGGAGAGACAACAUUCAGAGUGAUAUUGAUGGCGAAUUGCAAAACUAGUCUGGCUGCCUUCAUCUUCUCUUCAAACACAGGACAAUGGCAAGCCGCUGCAUCCAAGGGUUGGAGCGAUUUGGCCCUUGGCAAGCACGACAUGGCUGAGAUGUCAUGGGUCCACCCUUUUAUUCUCAGGCGCCAUUAUGCUUACGGCUGCUUCUACUGGGACUGGGUGGAAUUCGGGAGGAAAAAGUUACUCUUGCUUGACACCAGGAAGAUGGAGUUCUCCAUUGCUGACCUCCCGCCCGGAGAAUGGAACAAGGAAGGUUUAGCCAUUGUGGAGGCAGGGGAAGGCAGGCUUGGGAUGUUUGGUUUCCAUGGUGAAGCUACAUCCAAUCUCAUCUAUACCGUUGCACGAAACACAGGCAAGAGUCCCAGGCAGUGGCAGGUCAAGAAGACAUUCCUACUAGAUUCUGGGUACAAAUAUCGUAUCAGAGAUGCAACACAGAGGUACUUGCUCUUGACAAGGAUAGACGCCUCAUCAUCUCUAAAUGAUCGACUUACUGGAUAUUUCGCAAUGGAUGUCAAGACGUUGCAGAUUCAGAGGGUUUAUGAGAAACAGAAUUAUCGUUUGCAUGAGACAUACCCAUAUAUCAACUUUCCACCAUCAUUGCUGUCUUCAAGGAGAAUAUGA
This 1227-nucleotide ribosomal RNA is filed under the name Triticum aestivum (bread wheat). RNAcentral describes it as "partial small subunit ribosomal RNA". The record is from RNAcentral. Lineage: Eukaryota; Viridiplantae; Streptophyta; Magnoliopsida; Poales; Poaceae.